GUGCCUUUUGAAUUCAGAACAAUUUCCAUUAUCUAUUAAAAAUAAAAUACAGGCUGGGCACGGUGGCUCACGCCUGUAAUCCCAGCACUUUGGGAGGCCGAGGUGGGCGGAUCAUGAGGUCAAGAGAUGGAGACCAUCCUGGCCAACAAGGUAAAACCCUGUUUCUACUAAAAAUACAAAAAAUAGGACGGCCUCCGUGCGGCCGAAGAGCGGAUGGACUGGCGGGCAAGUGAGUGAGCCAGUAGUGUGAGGCGCCAGGCGAGGCCGAGCCACGAGUGACAUGGGGGACCGGGAGCAGCUGCUGCAGCUGGCAAGGCUGGCCGAGCAGGUGGAGCGCUACGACGACAUGGCCUCCGCCAUGAAGGUGGUGACAGAGCCGGAUGAACCUCUCUCCAAUGAAGAUCGAAAUCUCUCUGUGGCUUACAAGAAUGUAGUUGGUGCCAGGCGAUCCUCCUGGAGGGUCAUUAGCAGCAUUGAGCAGAAAACCAUGGCUGAUGGAAAGGAAAAGAAAUUGGGGAAGGUUAAAGCUUACCUGGGGAAGAUUGAGAAGGACCUGGAGACAGUUUGCAAUGAUGUUCUGCCUCUGCCUGACAAGCUCCUGGUCAAGAACUGCAGUGAUUUCCAGUAUGAGAGCAAGGUGUUUUACCUGAAAAUGAAAGGUGAUUACUAGGGCUACUUAGCAGAGGGCGCUUCUGGGGAGAAGAAAAGCAGUGUGGUCGAAGCUUCUGAACAUGCCUACAAGGAAGCCUUUGAAAUCAGCCAAGAGCAGAUGCAGCCCACGCACCCCAUUCGGCUGGGCCUGGCCCUCGACUUCUCUGUGUUCUACUGCGAGAUCCAGAAGGCACCCGACCGAGCAAGCCUGCCUCCUAGCCACACAAGCCUUCGACGACGCCAUAGCUGAGCUGCACACACCAAAUGAGCGUUCCUAUAAGGACUCCACGCUCAUCAUGCAGUUGCUGCGAGACAACCUCACCCUCUGGACGAGCGACCAGCAGGAAGAAGAAGCAGGAGAAGGCAACUGAAGAUCCUUCAGGUCCCCUGGCCCUUCCUUCACCCACCACCCCCAUCAUCACCGAUUCUUCCUUGCCACAAUCACUAAAUAUCCAGUGCUAAACCUAUCUGUAUUGUUAGCACAGCUACUCAGAUCUGCACCCAUCUCUUGGGAAGCAGUUUCAGAUAAAUCAUGGGCAUUGCUGGACUGACGGUUGCUUUCAGCCCACAGGAGCUCCCUCUGUGAAUUGUGCAGAGCGCUGUGUUCUGAUGAGGCACUUCACUGUGCCUGUUGAUCUAUGGGAAAUCCAGGCGAAAGUAAUGCGGGGAGAGAAUUAGCCAGCAGAGGCUGCCGUUGAUAUUUAAAAGAUCCAUUUAAAACAAGCUGAUAGUGUUUGAUUAAGCAGUACAUCUUGUGCAGG
This is a non-coding RNA of Callithrix jacchus (white-tufted-ear marmoset), 1412 nucleotides long. The record is from RefSeq and is a predicted model, not a curated record. NCBI's taxonomy places the organism in Eukaryota, Metazoa, Chordata, Mammalia, Primates, Cebidae.